UGAUUCUGCUGCAGGUGUUGGAGGGCAGUGUGUGUUGUGUGGGGACUGUGUGGACAGGUAUCACCCAGACAGCUUGCACUGACUCCAGACCCUGCUGUCAUGUCACGGGUAA
Molecule: microRNA precursor, 112 nt
Organism: Pongo abelii (Sumatran orangutan)
Lineage: Eukaryota; Metazoa; Chordata; Mammalia; Primates; Hominidae
Source: Ensembl